UAGAACAUCUGGGAAUGGGGCCCAGGAAUCAGCACUGAAUCAAGCACCAUAGGAUGAAGAAUUCAGACCCUCCGAAGGCAGCCCAGUUCAUUUUGCCCCUGGAACUCACUCUGUGGGUGGGGGAGGAGCAUGGUUCCGGUGGCUUCACCCCCCAGAUUUCUUCUGUCAUUGUCAAUUUGCCAAGGGAGUUUCUCUAUAAGGCCAUGAUGCAGGUUGGAGACAAGAGCUUCUUACUGCCUUUCAACUGGUCGAAGGGCCUGCUGCUCUUCUUCAUGGAACACCUAUUAUCGUCCAACAAUUUUUGAAACAUCCUUAGAGGCACAGACUUCUGCCAGGCCUGCAGACAGAGCUCAGGAUAAAGAGCCAAGGGUGUGGCCUGUCUCGAGGCCCAUAGAUGUGCGCUCUGCAGGUGGAAUGGCCGUCCGGUGCUUACUUUGACUGUCCUCGGGUCCCGAGUCUUCUGGUGGUUAACUGAGGAAACUGCUGCCUUAUGAUCGAGCAGAGGAUGAUAAUUGCUGUUGCCCAGGACAACCACACCAGUUCACAAGAAAUCCGUGAAGAGAGAGCAUCUCUCAAGGUGAAAACAUAACCAUGAGGCCCCUUUCCUUGGGGUUUACGGAGAUGAUGUUUGUGGAGAGGCAUGACAGGUCAGGGGUUACGUGCAAGAACUCUGGAACUCGACUACCUGAAUUGAAUGCAAGCUCAGGCAUUGGUUAGGCUGGAUGCCCUUGGGCAAGUUAUUUAGUAUCCACAUGACUCAGUUUCCCCAUUUGUAAAAUAGGAAUGAUAAUAACCUCUAGAGUUAUUGUGAAAUUUUAAAAAGUGAAUGUAUGUAAAUAGCUGGC
This 845-nucleotide long non-coding RNA is filed under the name Homo sapiens (human). Its description in RNAcentral is "long non-coding RNA NONHSAT163951.1". Lineage: Eukaryota; Metazoa; Chordata; Mammalia; Primates; Hominidae. The record is from RNAcentral.